This 1728-nucleotide ribosomal RNA is filed under the name Triticum aestivum (bread wheat). RNAcentral's name for it is "partial small subunit ribosomal RNA". The record is from RNAcentral. Lineage: Eukaryota; Viridiplantae; Streptophyta; Magnoliopsida; Poales; Poaceae.
AUGGGUGUAGCUAAGACACCGGCGGUGCUUUGGUUACUUGGGGCGGUGUUAGUGCUGGGAGUUUCCGUUAGCCCUGCUCAGGGCGCCAAGACUCGCUACCACGAUUUCUUUAUUAAGGAGAGCAACUACACAAGGCUCUGCAAGGAGAGGACCGUCCUCACCGUCAACGGGCAGUUCCCUGGCCCUACCAUCUACGCGCGCAAGGGCGACCUCGUCAUCGUCAAUGUCUACAAUCAAGGCGAUAAAAACAUCACCAUCCACUGGCAUGGUGUGGACCAGCCACGCAACCCGUGGUCAGACGGGCCUGAGUACAUUACCCAGUGUCCCAUCCGCCCCGGCGGCAACUUCACCUACCGGGUUAUCUUGUCCGAGGAAGAGGGCACACUUUGGUGGCACGCACACAGCGACUUCGACCGCACCACAAUCCAUGGCGCCAUUGUCAUCCACCCCAAGCUCGGAACCACCUUCCCCUUCGUGAAGCCACACAAGGAGAUACCCGUCAUCCUCGGUGAGUGGUGGAAUGCCGAUGUGAACCAUCUACUCGAGGAGGCGGAGAGGAUCGGCGGCGAGAUCAACAUCUCGGACGCGAACACCAUCAACGGCCAGCCGGGGGACCUGUUCCCGUGCUCCAAGGCCGGCACCUACAAGAUACCGGUGCAGCACGGCAAGACGUACCUGCUCCGGAUCAUCAACGCGGGGCUCUCCAACGACCUCUUCUUCAGCGUCGCCGGGCACAACCUCACCGUGGUCGGCACCGACGGCCACUACACUAAGCCGUUCGCCGUCAAGCACAUCAUGAUCGCGCCAGGUCAAACCAUGGACGCGCUUCUUGAGGCCAACCGCGGCGAUGGCGGCCGGUACUACAUGGCCGCGAGGACGUUCGCGUCCAACCCCAACAUCGAGGUCAACAACAGCACCGCCACCGCCAUCGUGGAAUACAUGGACGACGCACCGGGACGUACGGCCCCGCCGGAGUUCCCUACCAACCUUCCGGGCGUCAACGACAUCGACUCAGCGACGGCGUACACGGCGCAGCUCCGGUCCCUGGGCAGCAAGGACCACCCAGUGGACGUGCCGAGGCAGGUCGACGAGCACAUGCUCGUCACCAUCGCCGUCAACGUGCUCCCCUGCGCACCCAACGAGACGUGCGGGGGGCCCGACGGCAACCGCCAAGCGGCGAGCCUCAACAACGUCAGCUUCGUGAACCCGUCCGUCGACAUCCUCGGCGCCUACUACCGCUCCGUCCGUGGCGUGUUCGACGCAGACUUCCCCAACAAGCCGCCCUUCUUCUUCAACUUCACGGACGUCGACAACGACCCCGUCGAGCGCUGGGCCACCAAGCGCGGCACCAAGGUGAAGGUGGUGGAGUACGGCGCCGUCGUGGAGGUGGUGUUCCAGGACACCUCCAUCCUUGGCGCCGAGAACCACCCCAUGCACCUGCACGGCUUCACUUUCUACGUGGUAGGGAGAGGGUUCGGGAAUUUUGACGAGCAGAAGGACCCGGCCACCUAUAACUUGGUCGACCCGCCGCACCAGAACACCGUCUCCGUGCCCAAAGCUGGCUGGGCAGCUAUCCGAUUCCGCGCGGCGAAUCCAGGUGUCUGGUUCAUGCAUUGCCAUUUUGAUCGCCAUGUGGUGUGGGGAAUGAGCACCGUCUUCAUAGUGAAGGAUGGCAAGGCUCCUGAAGCUAAAAUGAUGCCUCCGCCUCCCAACAUGCCUACCUGCUAA